UACGUAGGGGGCAAACGUUGUCCGGAUUUACUGGGUGUAAAGGGUGCUCAGGCGGUUUUGUAAGUCAGAAGUGAAAUCCCCGGGCUCAACCUGGGAACUGCGCUUGUGACUGGAAGACUAGAGUAUGGCAGAGGGGGGUGGAAUUCCACGUGUAGCAGUGAAAUGCGUAGAGAUGUGGAGGAACACCGAUGGCGAAGGCAGCCCCCUGGGCCAAUACUGACGCUCAUGCACGAAAGCGUGGGUAGCAAACAGGAUUAG
Molecule: ribosomal RNA, 258 nt
Filed under: uncultured bacterium
Lineage: Bacteria
Description: partial 16S ribosomal RNA
Rfam family: Bacterial small subunit ribosomal RNA
Source: RNAcentral